This 236-nucleotide ribosomal RNA is filed under the name uncultured Rhodocyclales bacterium. Its description in RNAcentral is "partial 16S ribosomal RNA". It matches the Rfam family "Bacterial small subunit ribosomal RNA", at positions 99 to 334 of the family's 1533-position model. The record is from RNAcentral. Lineage: Bacteria; Pseudomonadati; Pseudomonadota; Betaproteobacteria; Rhodocyclales.
CGAACGGGUGAGUAAUACAUCGGAACGUGUCGAGAAGAGGGGGAUAACCACCCGAAAGGGUGGCUAAUACCGCAUAAAUUCUGAGGAAGAAAGCUGGGGACCUAGGAAUAGGCCUAGCGCUUUUUGAGCGGCCGAUGUCGGAUUAGCUAGUUGGUGAGGUAAAGGCUCACCAAGGCGAAGAUCUGUAGCGGGUCUGAGAGGAUGAUCCGCCACACUGGGACUGAGACACGGCCCAG